Cercocebus atys (sooty mangabey) is the source of this 47-nucleotide microRNA precursor. The record is from Ensembl. NCBI's taxonomy places the organism in Eukaryota, Metazoa, Chordata, Mammalia, Primates, Cercopithecidae.
AGGCAGGUUAUCUGGGCUGCCAUCUCCCACUGGCUGCUUGCCUGCCU